UACAGAGGGGGCAAGCGUUGUUCGGAAUUACUGGGCGUAAAGGGCGCGUAGGCGGCCAACUAAGUCGGACGUGAAAUCCCCGGGCUCAACCCGGGAACUGCGUCCGAUACUGGAUGGCUUGAAUCCGGGAGAGGGAUGUGGAAUUCCAGGUGUAGCGGUGAAAUGCGUAGAUAUCUGGAGGAACACCGGUGGCGAAGGCGGCUCUCUGGAACGCAACUGACGCUGAGGCGCGAAAGCUAGGGGAGCAAACAGG
RNAcentral lists this ribosomal RNA (253 nucleotides) under uncultured bacterium. RNAcentral's name for it is "partial 16S ribosomal RNA". It matches the Rfam family "Bacterial small subunit ribosomal RNA", at positions 524 to 776 of the family's 1533-position model. The record is from RNAcentral.